CCGUUUUAUAAAGAUAAAGGUAUUUGAUCGAAAUGAAAUGUUUUGAAAAGACAUAAUUGUGCCCGGACACGAAUCAUAAAAACAUCGCAUUGACACGAAUAGAAUUGCAUCACUACAUCCAUAUUGCAUUCACUAAUAGGACAUGCAUCAUAUACAUUGUGUAUGUCUUGAAAAAAAAAGGGAGUGUCAUUUCAACUCUUGUGAUGAGAGAAGUCAUCACACCGGCGCACAAUUAUGACAUGAUUUGAGAAAUGAAAAGUAUUGUGAUUUUAAACGGAUGAGUUUUCCAACGUAAGUAAGCUCAGACAGGGACUCUGUAUAUAGAGGCAUAGGACAAGACUGAUCAUCUUGUUAGGCCUAUCUGAGAACAUACGUAUGUAGAACGGCGAAUAGUAUAACGCGAUAUGAAAUGUAUCAAGAUUUGAAUUGCAAAUCUUUAAAGAAGUCUCGUAUGUUGAAUACGAAGACGUCGACGCUACUUUACACGUUUGUAAAGUAAUAGAAACCACGUUUAAAGUAAGAACGAGAGUACCUCGAGAAUGAGGGAAUCGAACAUAGAAAUUAGUUACAAAAGAGGCGUGAACCCACGUGCAAGAAGAUAUUAUUGUAGUCGAUUGAAGAAAGAGGGGUUGACUCAUAAUGAUUAUAAAUCAAGGGUCAAGAAAUUGUUAGAAUUGUAUGUAUAAGGAGUUACUCGAUAAGUAUAUCGAGGUACUUUCAUCUAAGGAUGAUAAUAGAUGGGAGACCGUAUAAACCUAACUGCAAAGUCAACAGUUAGUGAAUGAUUAAUUAUGGCAUCGCAGCGGAAGUGUGAAAAAAAAAAACGAUAAGUUAUGAAUAAAGAUUGGUUAAGUAAUAGAACAAGAUUAUGAAAAUUCGAGGACGAAUUUUUAUAAGGGGGGAAGAUUGUAAUAACCUAAAUUUUUGAGGUAUUACGUGUAGAGCCACGAGGCAUAAUCGUAAAGAUUAAGAACGAAAAUAUCGGAUUAGGAUUGGAUAAUAAGGACUUAGACUGAAGCGGGUCUAUUGGAAUUAUGGUAGAAUAAUAAUUUAAAUGGAAAAUUAUUAUGCGAUAAAUUGGAUUUAAUCGAGACAAAAAGGGAAUAAAAUAAAAUAAGUUGGAAAGCCAGAGCUAAUAAUAUUCACGUCAAGGUCCGUGAAAUAUUAUAAAUAAAUGAUUGUCAAAGUUUCGUAAGUAUACGAAAUCGUUUUAGAAGAAAGUUUGAUGAUUAGUUAAGAAUAAGGGUUAAAGUGCAAAUUAGCCACUUUAAGGACUAAAGUGGACUUUUAACCACAAACUUCCGGAGGAAGUUGUGUUUUACUCUAUUUUCUCAAGAUAAGAAAAUAAUAUCGAUAAAGUUGUUAUCAAUAGUCAAUAAAAUAAAAAUUGGACAAAAAAGUGAGAAAAAGUGCAAGUUAGCUCAAAAUGGAAAUUUGAGCGUUUUUGGCCAAAAUUGCAAAAAUAUAUUAUUGGAAAGUGAUAUUAAAAGAUAUGAGACUAAUGUUAUUUAUUUGGGAAAUAUAAUACGUAAUCUAUCGAGAAUCGAAUGAUUAAAAGAUUAGUGCACUAAAUUGUACGAAAGAUAAGCUAGAAAGUGAAGAGAAAGGAGGUGACAACUUCAAGGACCUAAGUGGACUUUUUAUCCACUUAUUAUCAUCUUUUAUGAAUGAAUAAUCAUUCAUUUAAACACAAAAUUUGCAGCAAACCAAAGGUGAAAUCCGUAGCUCUUCAUUUCCAAAUUCUCCAAAAUUUCAAAUGCUCAUAACUUUUUCGUUUCUCAACGAAAUUGAGCGAUUCUUGCGGCCACGGAACGAGGAAAUGAUUAUCUACAGAUAUGUGGCAUCAAUUUAAGUGAGUUUAUAAGGUUGAAUUGGAUGCAAAGUGAGGAUAGAGCUAAGGUUUUCAAGGUGAAAUUGAGCUUGAUUAAAGGAUUUUGAUGAUGAAUUGGAAGGUUGGAUCAUUCGGCCAUGAACUACAACCAAGACUCGAUGAGAUCGACAAGGCUCGGAACUUAGAAGAUUGUGACAUCGCUUAGCCGCUUUAAAGUUUAUGGAUAGCAAGUGGGAUGGUAUGAUAUGAUUUGAAGAGUUAAGCUUCCGAAGUUUUAAUUCUCGGAAGUCAUUUGCACAAGAAGUAAAAGAAGAUUUUCAUUCUCGCGGUCCGCAGUAGUCUAGAUGUUUUUGUCUAUGUAUUUGUAUAACGCAAUUUCACUCUGAUAUUUUUUUUAAAAAUGGGGUCACAUUUAUUUUGAUAUAUGAAAUAUGAUUGGUUUUGCGAAAAAUUUACACAGAUUUUAGGCUUGCUACGGGUUUCGGAGCUACCACUCCCAUUCCCUAGCGCCGGUCGCGACUCAUAAAUUUGGGUCGUGACAGCUAGGUUGCUAGCCUCGAUUUUUUUGUUUGGUUUAAGAGUUGGACAUAAAUUGGAAAACUUAAGUAGUUUUGUAAGUGGUAAAAGUAAAUAGUGUUUUUUAACAAGUAAAAUAAAAAUUAUGAUAAUAAAGUUAAUUAAAAUAAUUAAAAUUUAAGUAGUUUU
Molecule: long non-coding RNA, 2536 nt
Organism: Mercurialis annua (annual mercury)
Lineage: Eukaryota; Viridiplantae; Streptophyta; Magnoliopsida; Malpighiales; Euphorbiaceae
Exons: 5
Source: RefSeq, a predicted model, not a curated record